AUUCCUCAAUUUUAGGGAGAAUAAAUAAGCUAAGGAAGUCCAAAUAAUUUGAGAUCACGUACAUGCAAAGAAUCUCAUUUCUUAGGACUCUAUUAGGCAAGUUAAACGUUGUGCUCUUCAGAUUUUGUGAAAGAAGUUAUACUGCUAUUGAAGUUUGGAAAGAGUAUGGUGGAAUGCCUGAAUUUAACAUUCUCAGGAGUCUUGUUUGUCAAAAUCAUUUUCAAUCAAACAAGAAUUCUCUCUCUCUCUAAUUGUUAGAGAAAGG
RNAcentral lists this long non-coding RNA (265 nucleotides) under Amborella trichopoda. RNAcentral's name for it is "long non-coding RNA (ATRI_LNC000301)". The record is from RNAcentral. Lineage: Eukaryota; Viridiplantae; Streptophyta; Magnoliopsida; Amborellales; Amborellaceae.